UUCGCCAGGGAACAACGAGCCCCAGCUUAAAACCCAAAGGACUUGGCGGUGCUUUAGACCCCCCUAGAGGAGCCUGUUCUAGAACCGAUACUCCCCGUUCAACCUCACCCCCUCUUGUCUUUCCCGCCUAUAUACCGCCGUCGUCAGCUUACCCUGUGAAGGGCCAACAGUAAGCAAAAUUGGCACAGCCCAAAACGUCAGGUCGAGGUGUAGCGCACGAGGGGGGAAGAAAUGGGCUACAUUUACUGUCCCAGUAAACACGAAUAUUGCACUGAAAUGAGCAUUUGAAGGAGGAUUUAGCAGUAAGGGGAGAACAGAGAGCCCCCCUGAAAAUGGCCCUUAAGCGCGCACACACCGCCCGUCACUCUCCCCGACGCAAACUUGACCCAUAAAUAAUAAAAACCAUACAACAAGGGGAGGCAAGUCGUAACAUGGUAAGUGUACCGGAAGGUGCACUUGGAAAAACC
This 467-nucleotide ribosomal RNA is filed under the name Cryptocentrus cinctus. RNAcentral's name for it is "partial 12S ribosomal RNA". It matches the Rfam family "Bacterial small subunit ribosomal RNA", at positions 868 to 1528 of the family's 1533-position model. Lineage: Eukaryota; Metazoa; Chordata; Actinopteri; Gobiiformes; Gobiidae. The record is from RNAcentral.